RNAcentral lists this long non-coding RNA (1639 nucleotides) under Solanum tuberosum (potato). RNAcentral describes it as "long non-coding RNA (STUB_LNC005383)". The record is from RNAcentral. Lineage: Eukaryota; Viridiplantae; Streptophyta; Magnoliopsida; Solanales; Solanaceae.
UGUAUAGUCUAUCAUCACUUUUUUGAAAUCUUCAACAUCCCAUAUUCUGCUACGUUUUUUCGGAAGCUUUUGCAUUUUCACCACAUAUCUACCCAUAUCUCUAAUCAAAUCAUGCAUUUCAAUCAUAUUAUUUUCAGAGAUGAACACAAGAGAUUUAUUAAUCAGAACAUUCAAUCCGUAUUCAGCUCCAAAGUCACAACUCUCAAGAAUUUGCAUGACUUCUUUUCUUUUUUUUCCACGGAAUAAACAUGCAAUAUCUAGAAAUAUCUCUUGCUCUUCGAGCUCCAACCCAUCAUAACUUAUUUUGAGUUUUUUAACAAUUUCUGAAUUAGAGUUUUUCUUUAUCUGCUCUACAGUUUUUCUCCACAAAGUUAGACACUUUUUAUGCAAUAAAGAACCCCACACCUUGAGGGCUAAAGGAAGGCCUUUAGCGUGAUUUACUACCUCCAAUGAGAACUUCUUAAAACUCUCAUCUGGAUCUUCUUUUUUAAAAGCAUGCUUAUUGAAUAAUUGCAUAGCUUCAUGAUCAGGUAGUGUAGACACUUCGUAUAUCGCAUCAUCCUUCUCUAUCAAAUGUUUGUUUCUAGUUGUUAUAAUGACUCUGCUGCCAUUACCAAACCAACCAACAUCACCUGCUAAAUACUCCAAAUGCUCACUGUGAUCUAUAUCAUCAAGCACAAUUAGCACCUUCAUAGAACAAAGUAUGUUCGGAAUCAUGCGCUUCCCAUCAUACUUAUUAUUGACGUAACCUUUUUUUUCUCUUAAAAGUUCAGAGAGAAGGGUAUUUUGUAAAGAAUGCAGUUUAUUCUUUUUUGCAUUUUCUUUAACAUCUGCAAGAAAACAGGAAGCUUUAAAUUGAUAAGAUAUAGCAUCAAAAAUAGCUUUUGCUAUUGUUGUUUUACCGACUCCGCCUAUUCCCCAGAUCCCUAAAAUCCGAACAUCGUUGAUUUCCAUUUGAAGUUUGGAUUUUAGUUUCUCUAAGUGAUCGUUUAUUCCCACAACAUCUUGCAAAAAAGAUAAAGAAUAAGCAUUUGUGCGAAACUUGGAAGAGAUGCAGUCUACGAUCUGUUGAAUAUUCUCUGAUUCAAUCCUACAUAAAGAAGAAGAUUGAUAGUUUAGGAGGACUUUUAUGUAUCCUCUCUAAUUAAAUUGAUAGAACUAUGCCUUCUUAACAAUAAAAAUGUAUAUACACUACCAUCUAAAUAAUAAUCAAUGAAAUUAUGAAUGGAAAUUAUUCCAUUUUUUCAUUAAAAGUAAUUAUGUGUAUUCAACUAACCCGUCACGGAUAUCAUAUCCUUUUAGAUUUGCGGCAACAGUUAGGGCAUUUCUCCAUCUUUGCACCUUUUGCAUCCCCUCAACAUCAUCCUUAUACUUUAAUUCAUGUUCGGCAAAUGCUGCUCCAAAGCUUUCACUUUGGUUUCGAACAUGUGAUGGAUCCACAUCAUAGAAGAUUGGUAUGACUGUUUGUCCAUUUUCUUCAUCUUUGCAUUCCAUGAUCUUCACUAGUUCAUUCAAGCACCACCUAGAUGUAGCAUAAUUCUUUGAGAAGACAAUAAGUGCAACUUGAGACUCUUCGAUAGCUCUCAAGAGUUCUUUCGGAAUUGAAUCUCCAUGCUCUAGCCUUUUAUCAUCUUGAAAG